GAUGAUUCUCUCCACUAAAAAAUUACACACUCCAUUCUUUCCCUUUUCUCCCUCACUGGCACACACACCAUUAAUCAUCUUCUUCCAUUAUUUAACAACAAUACCACAGCAGCCAUUUACAAGGAUUUUCUCGAUAAAAACAAAAAAAUACACACUCCAAAAACUCACACACAUCACGGAUCCUCACCACCGAAAAACUCUCUCACACACACAUAUGCACAUCAGGACACAGAGAAAAUUGGGGAGUGAACAAAGGGAGGAAACACAGUGAAAUAGAGCGGUUUGAGAGUGAAUAUCGAGAGAAAAAAAAGAUUGAUCAAAGAG
RNAcentral lists this long non-coding RNA (324 nucleotides) under Capsicum annuum. RNAcentral describes it as "long non-coding RNA (CANN_LNC021907)". Lineage: Eukaryota; Viridiplantae; Streptophyta; Magnoliopsida; Solanales; Solanaceae. The record is from RNAcentral.